AGUGAACGCUGGCGGCAGGCCUAACACAUGCAAGUCGAGCGGCAGCGCGGUGUAGCAAUACACUGGCGGCGAGCGGCGGACGGGUGAGGAAUACAUCGGAAUUUACCCAAUCGUGGGGGAUAACGUAGGGAAACUUACGCUAAUACCGCAUGAACUGGAGACAGCAAAGCGGCGGACCGAAAGGCGUCGCGCGGUUGGAUGAGCCGAUGUCGGAUUAGCAGUUGGCGGGGUAAAGGCCCACCAAGGCGACGAUCCGUAGCUGGUCUGAGAGGAUGAUCAGCCACACUGGAACUGAGACACGGUCCAGACUCCUACGGGAGGCAGCAGUGGGGAAUAUUGGACAAUGGGCGCAAGCCUGAUCCAGCCAUGCCGCGUGUGUGAAGAAGGCC
RNAcentral lists this ribosomal RNA (389 nucleotides) under uncultured bacterium. Its description in RNAcentral is "bacterial SSU rRNA". It matches the Rfam family "Bacterial small subunit ribosomal RNA", at positions 30 to 416 of the family's 1533-position model. The record is from RNAcentral.